UUACGGGAGGCAGCAGUAAGGAAUAUUGGUCAAUGGACGCAAGUCUGAACCAGCCAUGCCGCGUGAAGGAUGACAGCCCUAGUGGUUGUAAACUUCUUUUGUACGGGAAAAAACCUCCGGUCGUGAAUCGGAGCUGAUGGUACCGUAAGAAUAAGCAUCGGCUAACUCCGUGCCAGCAGCCGCGGUAAUACGGAGGAUGCAAGCGUUAUCCGGAUUCAUUGGGUUUAAAGGGUGCGCAGGCGGAAUGAUAAGUCAGUGGUGAAAUCCAACAGCUUAACUGUUGAACUGCCAUUGAUACUGUUGUUCUUGAGUAUAGUUGGAGUGGGCGGAAUGUGUCAUGUAGCGGUGAAAUGCUUAGAUAUGACACAGAACACCGAUCGCGAAGGCAGCUCGCUAAACUAUAACUGACGCUCAUGCACGAAAGCGUGGGGAUCAAACAGGAUUAGAUACCCUGGUAGA
This 459-nucleotide ribosomal RNA is filed under the name uncultured bacterium. RNAcentral describes it as "bacterial SSU rRNA". It matches the Rfam family "Bacterial small subunit ribosomal RNA", at positions 339 to 794 of the family's 1533-position model. The record is from RNAcentral.